The sequence is a non-coding RNA, 360 nucleotides long. It matches the Rfam family "Bacterial RNase P class A". From Rfam's summary of the family: Ribonuclease P (RNase P) is a ubiquitous endoribonuclease, found in archaea, bacteria and eukarya as well as chloroplasts and mitochondria. Its best characterised activity is the generation of mature 5'-ends of tRNAs by cleaving the 5'-leader elements of precursor-tRNAs. Cellular RNase Ps are ribonucleoproteins. The record is from Rfam.
GGAGCCGGACAGACUGUCGCCGCGAUUUGUAUCGGGGAGGAAAGUCCGGGCUCCACAGGGCAGAACGCUGGGUAACUCCCAGGGGGAGCGAUCUCCGUCACGUGCAACAGAGAGUAGACCGCCUUCGGGUAUAUCCCGGAGGUAAGGGUGAAAGGGUGGGGUAAGAGCCCACCGGCUGUCGUAGUGAUACGGCAGGCCAGGUGAACUCCGUUCGGAGCAAGACCAAAUAGGGUAGCGCAGUAGAUCGGCCCGAUCGAGCUACCGGGUAGGUUGCUUGAGGCGUCUGGUAACAGCCGUCCUAGAUGAAUGACAGUUGCCCCGAAAGGGGAACAAGACCCGGCUUAUCGACCGACUCCAGAC